RNAcentral lists this small nuclear RNA (157 nucleotides) under Xenopus tropicalis (tropical clawed frog). RNAcentral describes it as "U4 spliceosomal RNA (ENSXETG00000036234.2)". The stretch from base 1 to 118 matches the Rfam family "U4 spliceosomal RNA". Rfam says of the family: U4 small nuclear RNA (U4 snRNA) is a component of the major U2-dependent spliceosome. The structure of U4 snRNA from yeast and human has been reported. The record is from RNAcentral. Lineage: Eukaryota; Metazoa; Chordata; Amphibia; Anura; Pipidae.
AGCUUUGUACAGUGGCAGUAUCAUAGCCAAUGAGGUCCAACCGAGGCGUGAUUAUUGCUAAUUGAAAACUUUUCCCAAUACAUUUAGUUCUGGUAUUAAAUUACAUGGAUGUUUGUCCAGUACAUUCUAUGGGGACUACUUUAUGUGUUUCCUGUAC